Molecule: long non-coding RNA, 1218 nt
Filed under: Numida meleagris (helmeted guineafowl)
Lineage: Eukaryota; Metazoa; Chordata; Aves; Galliformes; Numididae
Description: lncRNA (ENSNMEG00000004195.1)
Source: RNAcentral
GGACGGGGGGGACGGGGCCCUUUCCCACGAGCAGGCUGCCUAAAAAAUCCCCCCCCAAAAUUCUGCUGCAUCCCCCCCUCCCCCGGCGUCGAGAGCGGACUAUACAAAAUGCAUAAAAGAGCAGCUCCCGGGAAAGGGCCCGGAGCUUUAGGAAGGGGAAAAGGACGGAGGGGUGAAGGCUGAGGGGGGUGGGCUGAGCCCUGGAUGCCACCCCCUCCCCCCCCCCAUCACCACCACCACCACCACCAGGGACGAAUGGGGACAACAGGGCACAGCUGGAAGGGUCUAAUUGCUGCUGUCACGAUCGGGGGGGGUGAUCCGGUACAGGUAGAAAACGAAACGAAUCAUCGUCAUACAAAAAAAAAAUAAUAAUAAAAUAAAAUAGAGAAGAAGCCUCUAACGCACGGGUGAGAGCGGGGCGGGCGGCUCCGGGGUCGGCUUAUCUGUCGUUGAGCUGCGGGGAGUUGGUCCGCUCCUCCUCAUCCUCCUUGUCGUCCUUCAUCCCCUUCAGCCGCUGCCGGGCGAAGUCCUCGAACACGAUGUCGUCGUCACUGGGGGAGAGGGGACGCACACACAGACACACACAGAUACACACAGACACAGGGAGAGGGGUUUUGUGGGGGGUUUGGGGCGCUCAGGGCGCGGGUUUGGGGGGGAGAGGGGGGUCCCAAAGCUCCGUCGUCAGCCUUGGGUUGCAAAGCGUUACCCCGAGAAGGCCCCGCUGGGCUGGGGUGGGGUGGGAAAGGCCCCGAAGCAGCAGGGGCAGCACCAAAGCCACCCCAAAGGAACAUCAAAACCCUCUGCCCUUCCUCUUGCAGCCACCCCAUAGCUUCCCACGGCAACCCCAAAAUCAACCCCAGCCCCAGAACGUCCCCCCAGCUUCCCACUUGCAGCCCCAAAGCCAUCUCAAAGCUCCCACUGCAGCCCCAAACCCCCCCAUAACCUCCUACUGCCGCACUACGAUCUCCUAUUGCAGCCCCAAAGCCUCCCUAAGGCCACACUGCAGCACCAAAGCCACCCCAAAAUCUACUCCAGCCCCAAGACAUCCCUGAAAACCUCCCAUUGCAGCACCAAAGCUCCCCACACAUCUCUGAUCUUCCCCUUGCAGCCCCAAAGCCACCCCGAAACCUCCCACUGCAAACCCUAAAGCGAUCCCAAACUUCCCACUGCAGCCCCAAACCACCCCAUAACCUCCUACUGCCGCACCACGAUCUCCUA